Molecule: long non-coding RNA, 4564 nt
Organism: Felis catus (domestic cat)
Lineage: Eukaryota; Metazoa; Chordata; Mammalia; Carnivora; Felidae
Exons: 5
Source: RefSeq, a predicted model, not a curated record
ACUCUGGACAUGGCAACCCAACCUCUGGACAUGGCGACCCAAGGUCCACAAAACAGAAGGAACAGGUCCCUGAAUUAUCAUGGGGAAGAACCCACCUGGGACUGAUACAUGAAUGAGGAACUAACUUCUAUUUUAUUUGAACAAAUACCUCUGGGCCUAUGAAAUAAAACGAUACUCUGUGGAUGGGAAAGUCACAUUCUUACAGCUGUGAAAACCUGAACUGAAUAGGUAUGUAAGCGCCUUCAAACUCAUAGAGGAGUAAUUCUCUUUCGAACAGUCCCCUAGGAAAAUUCCCUAAUUUAGGUUGAUCGCCGUGGAUAGAAAGGGCCCCAGGCAAUUUGUCCAGCAAGCAAAUUGGCACUUGAGCCCGGAUGUCCAUGUCUCAAUCAACAUUUCCUAUUAAGGGAAAAUUGUUGCUGUUCUCCAUUAAAAUGAGUUCACUAUUCCAUUUCAAUUUUUUGUGUCAAAUGCCAAAGUAGAGGGAACUUUUAAUGUAAUUGGAAAGCUAUCAGGUGAAGUUUCUUGUAGCUCCAUGCACUAACUGAAACGUGGCUGAACCCAAGGACAUGUUUCUCCUACAGUCCUCUUAGGAGGUGGCUGUGUUUGUCUCCCAGCCCUCAAGUCUCUCUCUAUCAGGGAGAAUAAGGUAGAUAGGUGUCCUUCCGGCAACUCAUUGCUACUUGUAGACUUUUCUUCUCUCUUCACUUUCAAAAACCACAUCUCCUUUGCGAUGCGUGCCAAAGCUUGUGCCACCUGCCACUCUUACUUCCUGUAGCCACCUCCUGACUUUUUUCUCCUCGAUUCUUGUCAUUGUUCUUGGUCACUCCAACAUCCAUACGGAUGAUCCAGUCAACACCACGGCCAUAGUUCCUUGGCUUACUUUCAACGUUCUUUUGGUCCACUCUACCUCGACUGUUCAUUUCAUGUCAUCCCCUAAAUCUGAAUGCCAACCUUCUCAUUCUCCACACACCAUCUCAACCGCCCUUACUGGGAACGUCCAGCUAAGCUUCCUGGCCUCGCCAGGCUGUAAUACAACAACAUCUUCAAGAAGAAGGCAUGAGUUAGAAGAAGAAAAGCGAAUGAUGGGAGAGAGUAAUAGAGAUCAGAAGUGGCUUUGAGAGAUGAAGAGUAAACCAUAAGAAGAAAAAAAAAGAUAACAGAUGCUGGCUACAAAAUUCAGAUUCCCCUCUCCUGGCACGUCCUCCUGGGCCACAGAUCUCACCGGUGUGAGUCUUGGUCAAGAGUUGACUGGCCAGAGGAGGGAGACAAUCAAAAUAACAGUUCACCGGAGACGAUUGUGGGGUCCCCUCCUGUAUUUAAGGCCCAAGGGACUGGGGAAAAGUGCCACAAGUGGGGUAAAAGAUGGCUGUAUGGGUCCAAGAGGAGACAGAGCACAGCCAUGGCAGACAGAAAAUAGUCCCCCGAACAUAGGAGUCCCCUGGGACACGCCAUUCAUACCAGCGGGGGAAGAGGUUGAGCAUCAGAACCUGAGGGUGAGGAGAAGAAUUGGAAAAGGAGAUCUCCCAGUUGUUGGAAAGUCCAAAUACUGUUGACACCCCUAACAUUUGGAAUGCGUCAUCUGUGUUCUCUGUAAGUUUCUUGCUUCUCCUGUCACAAGAGUACUUUUUAACUUUUUGUAAUUAAAAUUAAUAAAUUUAAAGUGUAAAACUCCAUGACGCGAUACUGUACAACCACCUCCUUUCUCAAGGUCCAAAACAUUUCUGUCACCUCGAAAGAAAAUCCCACAUCAUGAAGCAGUCAUUCAUUCCCCUUCCCUCCUUGGCAGGCUCCUGGAAACCACCAGUCCAUUCAUGUCUCCACGGAUUUACCCGUUCUACAUAUGUUAUGUAAAUAGAAUCAUAUCAUUUGUGAUCUUUUGCUCCUGGCUCUUUUCACUUAGCAUGUUUUUAACAUUCAUCCACAGUGUAGAACAUAUCAGUGCUUUAUUCUUUUUAUGGCUGAAUAAUAUUCUAUUGAAUACAUAUACAGAGGAUUGUCAGAGUGCUAUUCCCUAGUUACGUGGAGAAGUGAUAUAAAAAUGCGUGGCCCACACGACUGAACAAUCCACGUAAAUAAGGCAUAGGGCACUGGGUCCUGGUCCAUACAAUUCAGUCAGUGUUCACUACCAUCACUAUUGUUAUUAUUGAGAUGGUAAUUUUUAUUAUCAUUUAACUAGCUUUCAUUGUAAAGUCUGCAAAUUCUAAUUUAAGAUCAGCUCAUCUCUCCCAUCCUCUAUGAUGGCUGGUUUUAUGUGUCAACGAGGCUAAGCCAUGCCACCCGUUUUGUUAAACACAGGUCUCGAUGUUGCCAAGAAGGUGUUUUUAAAAUCAAUUUUGCAGAGAGGUUAACAUUUACAUCAACGGAGUUUCCGUAAGCAGUUUACCCUCCAUAAUAUGGGUGGACUUCAUCAGAUCAGUUGAAGCCUUAAGAGCAAAGACUGAGGGUGCCCAUAAGAAAAGGGAAUUCUGCCUCAAGAUCACUAUAGAAAUUCUGUCUGGGUUUCCUGCUUGCUGGCCUGCCUUACAGAUUUCAGACUUGGCUAGCCCCACGCUCAUGUGAACCAGCUCCCUACACGCACACACGCACGUAUAUGUACGAGUGCAUACAUGUAUGCAUGCGUGUAUGUAUACACUGGCAGAAAUAUAUGUAUAUGUAUUAUUAUUUUAUGUAUAUGGUUGCACUGGUUUCUCUGGAGGACUCUAACACAUCCUCCCUAAUCAAGAAGGGGAGCCAGCCCACCCCUUACAUUCCUUUAUCUUCCAACAGUGAGCAGCUCCCAUUCAAGGCUGAUUCAAGUAGUUUCUCUUUCUCGCCGACUGUCUUUGUCAUCUCACCUAGUUCAUACAUUAACAUUCAAAGUCAGCAUCAUUAGAUGAUGAGGCUGAGGUUCAGAAAAGAUGGGCGACUUCCCCAGGCUCCUACGAUUUGUCCAUUACAGUGCCUGAUAAGAAUCGAAAAUUAUGUCACUGAAAGACUCGUGCUCUCUCCAGUUACCUUGCAGGUAGGUAUCUGCAUCGUUGUAAGGCAGGCAGUAUCCGGCACAAGCCUUGCCAACUAGUAGGCACUUAACAAGUGUAUCUUUCGCCCCAUAUCAAAACUGUCAUGUUAGUUCCUUCACUGGAGAGUGUCAUUCUAAAGACUCAUCUUUCCGAUGUCUUGAGCCUCUUGACGUGUUGCACGAAUUUGAAAAGUAUCCUUAGAUAUUUUCUGUAUUUUCCAACAGGUGAUCGAAUGCUUAUGGCUGUCACACAAGUCGUUAAAACCAAGUACUUGGGGUGCCUGGGUGGCGCAGUCGGUUAAGCGUCCGACUUCAGCCAGGUCAUGAUCUCGCGAAGUUUGGACCUUGAAUACCUUCUCUUGUCCUUGCUCUGAGCCAAUGAUGCAAAGUCUUCUAGGGUUUACAUUUAAUGGGGAACUAUGUUCCCUCAUCUGUUUUAAUUGUGAAACCAUGUUUCGUGCCUGUGAUUCUUUGAACUGCAACUUUCUGCCAGUUACGGGUUACACAGGCAAGAGAAGCUCCAAGAGUCAUUCUCACCUGUCCGGAGAACAGUGAAGCGCGAGGAGUCGAUAGAUAUCGUUUACCUAGUACAGAUCGUUAAUGGUUUGUUACAAUUCAAACCUCCUAUGUGCCAGAAGCUAACCCGCUGGCUACAGAGAAGUAUACAGUCCUCUUCCACAGAUUUUGAGACUCAGAAGGACACAUCCAGAAGAAACCCUGCCUCCAAACACGAAAGGGCGACGUUCUCAGAAACCUGCCAACUUCAAAAAACGUACACCAGCCUACAUCAUUUACUCUAAAUAUAUCGGACAUGAAGUAGCUCGACACUCGGACCCCUAGUCUGCAACAAUUUCUAUGGGAUUUGUUGUGAUGCCCCGAUUUCAGCUCAGACUCCAAUCAGGAUCCUUUCAGGGGAAAGAGAAAGCCCUUGUAAUGCAGAACACAGCUGCAAAGCUGCAACACAGGGCUGCUGGUUCUGGGCAGAUAGCAAAGGCCCCCAUCGCAGAGAAACUGUCCCCAACCAUCAGGAUUCAGCAGUUUUCCAAUCAUUGGACAAUAUUGAAAAUAAACUUCAAACCAAGAUAUAAGGAGAGAGUGAGACUCAGCAUUCUGAUAGGAAAAUUCUGCUUCCCUUGCCUUCCUGCAAAAGGCAAAAAUGGGGUAGGGCAAGAGGAGUGAUUGACACUCAGCAGAACGCGGACAAAGGAAGAAAAGGAUGUCCAGACUGGAUGACAAGAGAGAAUAUGCCCAAAGCGCCUGGCCGGCUCAGUCGGGGGAGCACGCGACUCUUGAUCUCAGGGUCGUGAGUUUGAGCCCCACGGUGGGUGUGGAGAUUACUAAAAACAUAAAUAAAUAAAUAACUCUAAAAAGGGGAGAGAAUAUGCUCUUGGAAAAAUCUACCUGAUCAAAGAUUCCAACUAAAGCUUGAGUGAAAAGGAAUUCAAAAUUAGCAUAUGUAUGUUACAUACGUAUAUGUAUAAUGUAUAUACAUAUUAUAGCAUACGUGCAAUUAUCUACAAAUUAGUUUAUGAGCUCCAUUAAAAGUUUCUAUAGCUGUUGCAUGUA